GCCGGGCGUGGUGGCUCACGCCUGUAAUCCAAACCCUUUGGAGGCCAAGGCAGGAGGAUCACCUGAGGUUGGGAGUUCAAGACCAGCCUGACCAACAGGGUGAAACCCUGCCUUCA
Molecule: unclassified non-coding RNA, 116 nt
Organism: Callithrix jacchus (white-tufted-ear marmoset)
Lineage: Eukaryota; Metazoa; Chordata; Mammalia; Primates; Cebidae
Rfam family: Metazoan signal recognition particle RNA
About the family: The signal recognition particle (SRP) is a universally conserved ribonucleoprotein. It is involved in the co-translational targeting of proteins to membranes. The eukaryotic SRP consists of a 300-nucleotide 7S RNA and six proteins: SRPs 72, 68, 54, 19, 14, and 9.
Source: Ensembl